This is a long non-coding RNA of Serinus canaria (Common canary), 3394 nucleotides long. RefSeq lists it as uncharacterized. The record is from RefSeq and is a predicted model, not a curated record. The transcript has 3 exons. NCBI's taxonomy places the organism in Eukaryota, Metazoa, Chordata, Aves, Passeriformes, Fringillidae.
AAAGAGCUGCUGUGGAAAAAAAAAAAGAAGAAUAUUGCAGUCUGCUUUUUCAAAUGCUUUAAGUUCUCACAGUUAAAGUAAUAUCAGGAAUAAUUAUGUGUGAAAUAAUUAAUUGUAUAUACCCUGAAUGCUUCUUGCUAGUUACAUCUCUGAUUUAAAAUUCAAUGCUAAGUACCAUGGUUUUCUAAUUGUGAUAACAUUUCAUUCUUGGAUUGUCUGUAGAAAUUACAUUUUUCAAAUUGAACUGCAGGACAUGAGGAUCUGUAGAUGACAGAAAACUGAUACCCAGGUGGAGUGAGAAAAUGCCUCCAAAAUGAAGGUAAAUGUGAGUAUGCAGAUCCCUGGCUGUGUGUGAUCUUUUUCUGCACAACAGCAUUUAAAAAUGCAUAGAACUCUUAGGCUCACUGCAACUGUUGAAAAUAUGAGGAAGAAAUACUCUGGGAUCCAUCUGCGCAUUUUUAACCCUGUUCUGUCACAGAGCACCAAAGACAAGGCAAAGUCUCCCUUCACAAGCAGCAGAGGAUGCCUUUGUCCUCCAAAAGAACAAUAUAUUCUGAGGGAAGGAAAAGGAAGGACACAGUAAUUUUUUCAUCUGAGCUUGUGGCAUUUCUGAGAGUGGGAAGCAUGUGGCUCAUCUGAAGAGCUUUCACCCCAAAAAGUCCUUGUCUGAGAGUGACAGAACCCACCUUGAUUUCAUUUUACCAGCAAAUUAUUAUGCAUUGGUAGAUGAAGCAAGAAAGAUGCAAGAAAGGAUGGAAGAUACUAAAACAAAAUAAUUAACUUUUUAACUUAUGUUAGAUGUUCCUAAACAGAACUGGGUACACUGGGAAUUCCCUGUGAAAUUCCAGUCCCUGGGGUAAGGAUGGGCUUUGGUUGGGUUCAAAGAGGUGAAAAGAAACACUUUGGGGUAAAUCCACAGAGGGGCAUGACAGGAUGUGUCGACAUCAAAGCAGCCUCAUCAAUAUUUUAUAUUAAUACCUUUCUCUGAGUCACAGAAUCAUUGAGGAUUUAAAAGAACUCCAAGAUCAUCGAAUCCACCCCAGAAUUGCCAUGUCCACCAUUAUAAUGAAGCCAUGGCUGAGGUAGGUGUGUUAUUUCCUAUAAAACACACUUCAGAGGAGCUGACCUACCCAGAGACCCCCAAAACCUCUGCAGGUUCCCAUCUGAAGCUCUGGGCCCUUGAGCUGGUUCAAAUAUAUUUCUGAAAAGCUGCUCACUCUCUGAGACCAGCUGAGAGCCAGUUUUGCAUCGUAAGCUUAAACUUUUGUCAAUAUUUGUGAAAUAUAUUUAGACAGCUUAUUCAGAAAUGAGUAAGUUAUAGAUCAGUAAUUCAUACUUUUUAUAUCCCGAGUUUUUAUUUCCUAAACUUACUCUUCUAAGCAUCGUUUUAUGUUUCUAGUUAAAUAUAAGUGAGAAUUGAUUGGGGUAUUUCUCAAUGGAAUUCUAUCUUUAUUUCAUCAUAAUUGCUUCAUAUUUGAAUAAUGACAGAUGAACUACUUCAUUCAAUUGCAGUUUUAAGGCUUUGAAGUCACAAUAGCAGCAAAGGAUUUAAAUCCUGAAACCAUUAUUAUGGCAGAGAAGACAUCAGGGAAAAGGAAAACUUAUGGUAGUGUAAUUUUCUAGACAGAAAAAUUCUUCUGCAGUUGCACUUUUUUCUUUUAUUAUUUUUUUCUGUGGACAUUUUAUUAAUGUUAAAAAAACCCUGGAAGAAGAGAUUGGAAAUGCUGAAUGAGAGUCUUGCUGUAAGUAAACUUCUGUAGUUAUUUGGCUUUGGAGCUGGCUACAAACCUUUUAAAAUUCUGGGCAGCUGCAAUACUGUAUUUCACCAAUAAAGAGUUCAUUAGAUCUUUUUUCUCUCUGACAUUUUACAUCUAGUCCUGAGUACAUGUUAAUACUCCAAGGUAUGAAUUUCAAAGUUCCCUUUAUCUUUGUGUACAGUUUUAAGCAAUUAAUCAAAUGAUAAAAUACUGCUUUAAAAUUAGAAACGAAUUGUGAAUUUAAAGUAUAUGUUCAAAAAGUUGCUACAUUAUAAUUUGGGGGAGGGGGGUGGGGCCUCAUCAACUGAACUUAAUUCUGGUGUUCCUUUUUAUUUUUUUUAUUACCUUACAUUUUACUGAGGAAUUUUGAAGUGAUCCUCAAAUUGUUAAAACAUGACCAAGCGGUCUAUCCAGGAUAGUUCUUCCUCCUCAGAGGCUGCAUCGAAGUGGCAGAGACAUAGAAAAAUCAUUAUUCAAUAUGUUCAAAAUGAUUCCCACGUGGGGGAAGAUUUAUACAGGCUUCUGAAAUGAGCGUGGGGGCAAACAGCACCGAGACCCCUUGGUCCGAAAUAAGAGUGAGUGGCAGUCCUACCAUCCCUGUACAAGGCCUAAUGUUUAAUGUUUAUUUUGCUCAGAAGAAUUAGGAGGGUCAUAGUAACUGGAGCUUGAAAAAAAGGUCUGGAUACCCCCAUUCACCAAUAACCUGAUUUCCUGACAUCUCCCAGAUCCUGUGGGAAUACAAUUGCCUGCCAGAAGGAGGGAGCUGAGGAAAAGGGCAAAGAGGUAGAGCCAUGCACACAAACCAGAAGGAUCUGUGUAUUACAUGAGCAAAUAAAAUCACAGGAAGGGAUUGGAACUGACGGACGGAAUUAAUUAAUUCAACUAACUGCUUCAAGUCUUUGAUAAACUGAUUUUUUUUGAUGUUUCCCAGUCCAUUCCAGGCAGCACAGUCUCCCCUGAAAGCUUCUGGACACAAGAGAGGACAUUCAUCUGUCUGCAGAGGAGUUUGACAUCCUGCAACUGACUCUGCCUUGCAUUUGUUGCUUUCUUUUUCCUGGCAUCAGUGCCUGGACAGCUCUGAUGCACUCUGGGAGGCAGCAUGGGUGAGAGCAAAGCUGCCACUUGGAUAAAGCCUCUGUUAGCAAGAGACAGGAAAAGACUUCAGCAAUUCUUAUUUCCACUAGACUUGAUGGGGACACGUUGUUUUUGUGAAUAGCUUCUUUGGCUGCUUGCUUAUGUUUAUUUAUUUAUUGUGAAUGGAGACUUUGAUCCUGUAGAAAUGAGACUGAUUUUCCUCAAAGGCUGAAGCAGAAGGAGAAAAUAUCUCAGAACACCUUAUCUUUGUUCUCUGUUCAUCUUCAGCAUGGGAUUUUACAGGAUUUGGAACUUUCUCCACUAGAAACUAUUCACCAAGUAACUGAAACUCUUUUAACAGAGGUUGAAGCAACACUGGCUGAGCAUCAUUUUUGUGCUAAGCACUGACGUAUUCCUUCCAGACUCUUCCUUCACCAUGAAAACAUUGACUGUUUUUGUAGCUCUGACUGGAUCACGGGCUCAUAGAUCAAGAUAUUGUCUUCCAGAGAGCACAACUCUUUUCUUUUAAGGUUCCUUAUUGUGUGAUAAAGUGUGUAAAACCA